RNAcentral lists this long non-coding RNA (291 nucleotides) under Oncorhynchus mykiss (rainbow trout). RNAcentral describes it as "lncRNA (ENSOMYG00000074063.1)". Lineage: Eukaryota; Metazoa; Chordata; Actinopteri; Salmoniformes; Salmonidae. The record is from RNAcentral.
AGGACGUUGUUUUUCUGUUCCCUAGCUCUGAGAAGAAAGGACGUUGUUUCUCUGUUCCCUAGCUCUGAGAAGAAAGGACGUUGUUUUUCUGUUCCCUAGCUCAGAGGAAAGGACGUUGUUUUUCUGUUCCCUAGCUCAGAGGAAAGGACGUUGUUUUUCUGUUCCCUAGCUCUGAGAAGAAAGGACGUUGUUUUUCUGUUCCCUAGCUCUGAGAAGAAAGGACGUUGUUUUUCUGUUCCCUAGCUCUGAGAAGAAAGGACGUUGUUUUUCUGUUCCCUAGCUCUGAGAAGA